Musa acuminata subsp. malaccensis (wild Malaysian banana) is the source of this 939-nucleotide non-coding RNA. Lineage: Eukaryota; Viridiplantae; Streptophyta; Magnoliopsida; Zingiberales; Musaceae. The record is from RefSeq and is a predicted model, not a curated record.
AAAUAUAAUCUGAUACAGACAGGCCUUGGUGGUAAACGAAGGUUGCAUCCUUUAUUUAUCGGAUCCAAUCGGGGCUACUCUGACCCGAUCCGUUUACACGUCAAGCAAAAAGCGAGCACAUACACUAUAUGAUUUGUCAAGAGUUGAAGGGUGUCGGAGCAAAAUUACCUUUCCACCUUCUCCACCAAGUAAAGGAACGGCGUUCCGAAAGGUUCCCGGAGUUCUUGUUCCCCCUUCCUGCCUGUCGAUAUCUCUUGUGUCCUCGCUUGAUCUCGUAACCCGGAACUCGAUCGAAGAAGGAAACGGUUUAUCAUUCUAGUUUUGUUGAUGAAGAAGGGAUAACGAAAGCCUGCGGUUGCCCCCUUCUUCCAUUGAAAACUCAUAUUAAGGGUCCGGCUCCUGUCUCAGAUCAAGACAAAAUCAACAUUGUUGAUGAGGCAAUAACUUUCUUUCGAGCAAAUGUCUUCUUUAAAAUUUUCGUGCAAAUGUCUUCCAAUCAUUGUGGCUCUGAAACGGCUUGAGGGUUGCAGAAAUCUUGCUGCGGGGACCAAAGCUAUCAUUAAUUUGGAGCUAUUCAGGAACUAUUCGAAGCAGAUAAGAGAGGAGACAAGUGGAAGGCUGCCUAACUGUGCUUAACGGCCUAAUGGCACCCCUAACAAGUGGUGGCUAGCUUUCGCAAAGAUGAAGUUAAUGAAUAUAGUUGUUCUCUAGUGUUUCGGCUUCGAAUGCAAUUUGUGAAUGUAGCAUGUGAACUGUAAAGCCAUUAACCUGCUUUUCAGCCUCCCACAAUUCGAAUGGGGACUACACACUUGAUGAUAUCUGAAUUGUUGAGUGAACAAGCAGUAUAGUAGUGGAAUAAGAACGCUGGAAUGAGCAAACAAGUCUUGUAAAAGAGGUCCUUAAUGUCUUUGGUGUUAGUCUGAAUUGGUCUUUGUUUGA